UCCCUGGUGGUCCAGUGGUUAGGACUCUGUACUUUCACUGCAGGGGCCACGGGUUCAAUCCCUGGUGGAGGAA
RNAcentral lists this transfer RNA (73 nucleotides) under Bos taurus (domestic cattle). It matches the Rfam family "tRNA". Rfam says of the family: Transfer RNA (tRNA) molecules are approximately 80 nucleotides in length. Their secondary structure includes four short double-helical elements and three loops (D, anti-codon, and T loops). RNAcentral also lists the same sequence under 4 other names. The record is from Rfam by way of RNAcentral. Lineage: Eukaryota; Metazoa; Chordata; Mammalia; Artiodactyla; Bovidae.